AGUGCGAGGGCAUAUAGUCCUCGCUUUUGUACACCGUAAGGUGGUGGACGAAUAAGGGCUGGGCAAGACCGGUGCCAGCCGCCGCGGUAAUACCGGCAGCCCGAGUGAUGGCCGCUAUUAUUGGGCCUAAAGCGUCCGUAGCCGGCCAGACCCGGUCCGUCGGGAAAUCUGCUCGCCUAACGAGCAGGCGUCCGGCGGAAACCAGCUGGCUUGGGACCGGAAGACCCGAGGGGUACGUCUGGGGUAGGAGUGAAAUCCCGUAAUCCUGGACGGACCACCAAUGGCGAAAGCACCUCGGGAAGACGGACCCGACGGUGAGGGACGAAAGCUAGGGUCACGAACCGGAUUAGAUACCCGGGUAGUCCUAGCUGUAAACGAUGCUCGCUAAGUGUGGCACACGCUACGAGCGUGUG
This 413-nucleotide ribosomal RNA is filed under the name uncultured archaeon. Its description in RNAcentral is "bacterial SSU rRNA". It matches the Rfam family "Archaeal small subunit ribosomal RNA", at positions 384 to 795 of the family's 1478-position model. The record is from RNAcentral.